CCAAAGCUGAAUUUUGUUUUGUUACUAUAAUGACUACAAUGUUGAGGUAAAUGCCUGACUUUUCCGUUUUUGAAACUUGCCAGUAGUUUGCACCUUGUGGUCAAUCCCCUGUGCAUCUGCAAUAUGUUUUGAUCCACAAGGGAACGAGCAAACCUACUCCUGGAGAAGCUUCUUGACCUGCUGUGCUGUUAUAAAAGGGUUUUUUGUUUUUGUGCCUCUCAGUCUGCCAGUUUCUUUCUCACUUCCUACUUUUCUUUAGUACUUACUACAUUUUAAGCACUCUUUGGUGCAUGAAAUAAUGUUGAAACAAUACACAGCUGGAUAAAACAGCUGUUUGUAGUCAAGUACUUCAUGGUUAAAUCCUUGUGAUGCAAAACUUGUUUUAAGGCUACAGCUCACACAUAAUUUGUCAUGGUCCCUGUGCCUCCCCGGACAGCCCAGUGUGGCCACAAGUGUUUGUUGUUUUACUCUCUCUCUGCUCCCCUCACCUUGCUCUCUCUCUCUCUCCUACCUGUCUGCCUGGGCGGAGCUCUGAUUGGGCUCCCGCCCUUGGCCCACGCACCUGCAGCUGAUCUCCGGUGAUUUGCAGCUCUUCUUAAGACAGGGGCUCUGAGCUACUCGUCGCUGGAAUAUUGAGUAACUCUCGUUUACCUGGAUCAGCCCUUUUGUGACCCCUGGACCCCGUGAGUGUGAGUGGGCAGCUUGUGUGGAGAUUGUUUGGACAAGCAGCGGAGCAAGUGCGAAGAAGUGUGUUUCCCCAGCCUAUUGAUCCCCGGAACCCUGGAGUCCCCCCCUUCACGUGUACAUUUCGCACCAGUGUGAUUAAUAAAGUAUUGUUGAACUGUG
This is a non-coding RNA of Maylandia zebra (zebra mbuna), 846 nucleotides long. NCBI's taxonomy places the organism in Eukaryota, Metazoa, Chordata, Actinopteri, Cichliformes, Cichlidae. The record is from RefSeq and is a predicted model, not a curated record.